Phragmites australis (common reed) is the source of this 5388-nucleotide RNA transcript. RefSeq lists it as uncharacterized. The record is from RefSeq and is a predicted model, not a curated record. The transcript is spliced from 6 exons. NCBI's taxonomy places the organism in Eukaryota, Viridiplantae, Streptophyta, Magnoliopsida, Poales, Poaceae.
GCCGCUCCCGACGCACCCCCAUCCAGACCAACACCGCCCCCGCUCCACCGACGCCUCCCCACAGCCCUCCGCCUGCAGCGCCGCCGCCUCAACCCCGUCCACCGCCCGCUGGCCAACCUCGCUGCCGCUGCCACCCACCGCCGGUUCCCGCGCUUCCGCUUCUCCGCCUCCGCCGCGCCGGCUCCAUCCCCUCCCAACACCCGCAGGCUAACCCGCAUCUGGCGGCACCCUCGCUGCCUCGCCUCCCGCCGCCAUGCUGGCCGCCUUCGAGGUUUUCAUGGCCGGAGGGGAGAGGGAACUCACCGGCAGCGCCUCCCGGCGGGAUGAGCAGCUCCGACGGCGGAGUGCUGGUUCACGAGAGAUUGGAUGAGGGGUUCCGAAGAUGCAAGCGACGUCGUGGCUCACGAGAGUCUCUGGUGCUCGGAUCCCCGAUUCCGGCGAACAGCUGCGGCCGAGGAUGACAAUCUACGUGGAUGCCAUGGUCGUGGCGGUCGUAUGCGCUUCCCGGGCGAGGUGGUGGUGUUCGCCGGAGCCCGGAGGAGGAUUUGGAGGAGGGGAGGCGACCCCCUGGUGCUACCUGCUGCUGCCGGCCAGCAAGACAUCCCCACGGGCCUAGUCGAGGCGGCCCCUGCACGACCACCUCAAGAAGCUUGAGACGACGAUGAACCGGAUCAACGCGCCGCUGCACGACGCUGGAGACAACCGUGAGGCUGCGGCUCAGGGACCUGACGCAGGUCAUGAGGACUUUGUCUGACCAUCUCAAAAAAUGGGGGGAAAAGAACUGUCUGAUGGUGCAAGGUAAAUUAGGGAGAGGUUUGAUGAGAUUAUUUAGGACUUUGAUGACCUAAGUUUGUUUGAAACUGCGCCCGGUUGAUCCUGAUAACCAUAGAGUGGGGCAUACAAGUUCAGCUGUAUUGAGCCGAGCAUUGUUGGAAGAGAACUGGGCAGGCACGACGCGGUAGAAAUGUUCUUGUCAGGAGGCAGAACUAAAGCUAGUCCUAUGUCCGUUUCGGCCGUAAUUGGAAAGGGGGGAGUUGACGAGACAAAACUAGCGCAACUGUCCUCCAAUGAUCCUGGGGUAUGCCAAUCUUUGAGAACAAAUUCUUGGGUCUGCGUAUCGGUUCGUUUGGAUGUUGAUAACAUGACUGGUAGCAUCCAUACUUCUUUGAUAGAGUGGUCUGAUAUAACAGGAUUUGUCGAUCUUCAGGGUGCAUGAAUCAUAUUGAUAGAAAGAGUGUUCAGCUUGUACUGGACAAUAUUUGGAAUAAGCAUCUCAGACUGUUGGCAGUCGUAGUGUUCAGCAUUGUUCACUGCAGGUGUUUGUAUGAUCAUAGUUACUGCUUGCCAUGAGGAAGUGGCAAGAGUGUGGAAACAUUGCCUGCAUUUGACCUUACCUUAGUCACCGGGAAUGGGCAUCUCAGAUUGCUGGUUAGUCGCUGGUCAGACAAAUAGCAUCUGAAGGUUAGGAAAACAUCCUCCAAAAAGAUCUGUUCAAAAUUGGUAGAAGGGUUUUUUUUGAGAAGUGCAAAGGCUUACCAUUGGCAGUUAGGAUACCAGGAAAGUAGGAAGUAUGUUGCGUUACAAAGCAAAUCAGGAAAGAUGGUCAGAAGUCCUGGAAAAUGAGGUAUGGGACAUGGAGAAGGCACACAGUGGAAUUAUGCUGGCACUUAAACUGAGCUUGAAUCACAUGCCUGUGCGCCUGAAUGUUUUCGUUGCCCUGUCAUUGUUCCUGAAGAAUACACACUUCGUAAAGAUGAGAUGAUUUCUCUGUGGAGGUCACUAAAUCUUCUUUUAUCUGCUUGUGGAAAUGGUGAAGGCCAUUCUGGAAAUCUUUGUCUCGGUUACUUAGAUCAAAAUCAGUUUUGGAUUAUAGUGUCAAUUUGUACACCAUGCAUGACCUUACCAAAAUCAGUUUUGGACUAUAGUAGCAAAUUUUAGAUUAUGACUUGUGCACCCUACAAAAUUCUUAAAAAUGAUGCAUGUAAAAUAUCGUACUGUAUAUGUCUCCCUUUCCUCUACAAUCAGGAGUCCAAACUUACUUUCAGUGCUGUCAAAUGCAAGCGUUUAGUUGAUGCAUUCCAUUAGCAACUUGCAUGUACCUGAUGUUCCACAGGACUUUGUCUGACAAUCUCAAAAAAUGGGGGGAAAAGAACUGUCUGAUGGUGCAAGGUAAAUUAGGGAGAGGUUUGAUGAGAUUAUUUAGGACUUUGAUGACCUCAGUUUGUUUGAAACUCCGCCCGGUUGAUCCUGAUAACCAUAGAAUGGGGCAUACAAGUUCAGCUGUAUUGAGCUGAGCAUUGUUGGAAGAGUACUGGGGAGGCACAACGCGGUAGAAAUGUUCUUGUCAGGAGGCAGAACUAAAGCUAGCCCUAUGUCCGUUUCGGCCCUAAUCGGAAAAAGGGGAGUUGACAAGACAAAACUAGCACAACUGUCCUCCAAUGAUCCUGGGAUAUCGGACUGUAUAUGUCUCCCUUUCCUCUACAAUUAGGAGUCCAAACUUACUUUCAGUGCUGUCAACUAUGCAAGCAUUUAGUAGAUGCAUUCCAUUAGCAACUUGCAUGGUACGCCCCUUCACUCUUCAACCGGCAUGAAUACUAGAUUCUGUGUUGAAAUGGCCAAUGGCUUAUUUGCUCAGUAUAAUUCACUUUUUAAUCGUAUAUUUGCAAUCAUAGCUCACAAGGUUCUUUGUUUGACCUCUAUGAUUUGUAUGCUAGUUUUCAUUUUAAUUGUCUGGAUAUUCUACCAAUCUUCCUCCUAAGUUCCUUUUCAUGUUAACUUCUUUUAUACGGCCAUUCAUUUCUUGUUCAUAAACCUUGGUUUACAUUAAGGUCAUUUCACUAAAAUGAACUCGAAAUAAUGCAAAUAAAUUGAUGAGGGGCAAGUGUUUCCAUCCAUAUGAUUCCACUACAUAUAUGUUUUCCGACUAAUUUUUUGUGAUCUCACUUGAUCAGAAUUCAGAAGUUUCUUGUGUCUAUUGCCUACUAGCACAUAUGUAUGUUAUAUGGCUGUACAUAUUCCAUUAUUAGCAUGUCUGUUGUAUUAUCACAUUGGGUCAUGAAUUCUCUCUCGUUUUUUAUAUUGGUACAAAAGUGAAAUGAAUAGCACUGGAACCGUUUCAAUGUACUUGUUUUAUAAUGCCUGUGACUGUUUCAUUCUUUUUAAUUUAUCAAGGGAUGUGUUUUGUGCUCCAUCAGAAAAAAGGUUGCGCAUAUUGAAGCACAAUAUAUAAAAUAGUACAGGGGUAAAACCUACCAGAUAUAAGAUACCAAAUAAUAAAUCCGUAUCCUAGGAAAUUAGUUACUAAUGUUUGAGUUAGAUAUUCCUGUUUGUUUUGCAACCAAAGGUUGCCAAGUUGUGCCAAACAUUCAUGCCUAUCUUGCCUAAGUUGUGGCGAACAAAAACGCCACCACAACUUAAGCGUGACUAAGGGAAUGUUGCCACAAUUCUAGUGUCCAUGACAUGUGGGAUCCAGUUAGAAAAAAGUUUGGCACGACUAAACUUUGGCUAGAACCAAGCACUUGCCUAAGGAUGCCUAAGAAACUGUGGCAUCCUGCCAAAGUUCUAACGGAAGUUGCAUAAAGUGAAUAACUAUGUAUGCUAUUUCUUAUCAAGCAGAACAUUAGCAGUCAAUAGAAAACCAAAGAAAUUUUAGUACAAGUUGAUUCUUUUCACAUGUAAUCAAUAGCAGUACAUAACCAUACACAUAUACAGCCAUGCAAUCAAGUAACACUAGAGCCCUAAAAAAAAAUGUCAAGUAACACUCGAGAAUUAGAUUCCAGUAACUCACAUCCUGCUUAGUGUUUCCACCUGUAGGCAAUUCAUUACAUAGAACAUCGCCCUAGUGCAUACUUCCAUCGCCCUAGUGCAUACUUCAAGAUUCGUCAGCUAAAAGUCGCAAGAACUUGAAAGAUUGUGCUUGCUCAGCAGCACAGGUGAUGUCCACUACAGGCCUACAGCCUUCGCUCCAAUUGCCAGGGUUGCUCAUCGCAUAGCCCAGUGGGCAAGAGCAUGCAGGCGCAGGCAAGUAGUGGCAGAUCCCAUUUGGACCGCACAAACCAUGAAUAUUGCAAGGCUGAGACACUGCAACCCAGGAAACCAACCAUCUCCCAUCUGAGCUGUUCAAGUUGUAGAGUCGGAGAUUACCAUCAGGAUCCAGAGUAAGCCUUUGUUUGAUCCCAAGACCUUCAUCAGAAGUAACAAGUGCUUGCUGGUUGGCGAAAUCACUCGAAAAAAAUUUGCCGGUAUCAUCUACACCCCCAAGCCUUGUACUGUUAUUCCGAUUUCUGUUAUUCUGAUACUCUCCUAUGUCAGGCUCUAGCUAAUAUAUUUCAUGAACCUCAGCAUCGUUAUAUAUAAGCGACAGUAUAGAUGAAUCUGUGAAAUGAAAUAUGUAGUGACCUGGGGCAUGCAACCCAGUUCUGGAGACCAGCUUUGUAGUUGCAGUGAUGCGCUGGGUGGGAAGCAUAGUGUGUGUGGGUGAAUCAAAGCUCGCCACACAAGCAUGCCACUGGAAUUCUUCAUGACAAGGUUUCCAGUGUCCAGGAGCUGAGCGUACUGCACGCCGGCCGAGUUCCCUUCUGCUGACGCUCGGUCAGAUUGCAGCCGGGCCUCAGGAACCGAGCUGACCAAAUGCACAGCACCGAACAAGCCAGAGCUCUCUGAUGAUGUUUGGUACUUCGGCUGGCUUCCUCCUGUCACAGUCACGGGCCCAGGAAGCAGGCAAUUUUUCCUUACGUGGCGAUCGCUAGCAGGAACCGGCAGUCCACGCCACGCUCUUCGGAGUCGAUGAAGGUGAGCAGCUAGCGUGCAGCAGCGACAGAGCACGCGGUAGCAGAGGCAGCAACACGUGGAUGCAAGCAGGCAGCGGCGGACGGUAGCAUGCGGACGCAAGCGGACAGCACAGCAGCUAGAGCGGACGGCAGCGCGCUACGCGCGAUCGGCCUAUAGGCCUAAUGCGGCGGCGAAAAAAUAGAUCAAUUGGAAUAAUUGUCUAGGGAAACAAAUUCGGCUGUAGCUAAGCCGAACAAAUCACGAAAUCGCUAAAAAGUGUGUUAGACAUGAAAACGUGUCACGCCAACUAUUGAGUUAAUCUCUUGCUAUCCUCUUCCCAAAAACGAAGGGAACCUUUUGUUUUACUAUAGAAAUCACAUCUCUAUCUCUAAUUUUCAACCAAACACAUAUAUUCUAUUUUUCAUUACCUAUCAUAUCCCUAGUCUAAUCAUUAUAGGCCUUCAAUUACCGGCAGCCAAAAAAAAAAUCCGGCGCUGCAGCCCGACCAAUCACUCGAAAGCCCGACCACGACAUCCACAGCUAGCCCUCGACCACGGUAUCCGACCACGGCCCUCCAUCGCUCGACCACAGCAUCCACAGUGCACGACCACGACAUCC